RNAcentral lists this ribosomal RNA (1490 nucleotides) under Helicobacter pylori Hp A-26. RNAcentral describes it as "bacterial SSU rRNA". It matches the Rfam family "Bacterial small subunit ribosomal RNA". The record is from RNAcentral. Lineage: Bacteria; Pseudomonadati; Campylobacterota; Epsilonproteobacteria; Campylobacterales; Helicobacteraceae.
GAGUUUGAUCCUGGCUCAGAGUGAACGCUGGCGGCGUGCCUAAUACAUGCAAGUCGAACGAUGAAGCUUCUAGCUUGCUAGAGUGCUGAUUAGUGGCGCACGGGUGAGUAACGCAUAGGUCAUGUGCCUCUUAGUUUGGGAUAGCCAUUGGAAACGAUGAUUAAUACCAGAUACUCCCUACGGGGGAAAGAUUUAUCGCUAAGAGAUCAGCCUAUGUCCUAUCAGCUUGUUGGUAAGGUAAUGGCUUACCAAGGCUAUGACGGGUAUCCGGCCUGAGAGGGUGAACGGACACACUGGAACUGAGACACGGUCCAGACUCCUACGGGAGGCAGCAGUAGGGAAUAUUGCUCAAUGGGGGAAACCCUGAAGCAGCAACGCCGCGUGGAGGAUGAAGGUUUUAGGAUUGUAAACUCCUUUUGUUAGAGAAGAUAAUGACGGUAUCUAACGAAUAAGCACCGGCUAACUCCGUGCCAGCAGCCGCGGUAAUACGGAGGGUGCAAGCGUUACUCGGAAUCACUGGGCGUAAAGAGCGCGUAGGCGGGAUAGUCAGUCAGGUGUGAAAUCCUAUGGCUUAACCAUAGAACUGCAUUUGAAACUACUAUUCUAGAGUGUGGGAGAGGUAGGUGGAAUUCUUGGUGUAGGGGUAAAAUCCGUAGAGAUCAAGAGGAAUACUCAUUGCGAAGGCGACCUGCUGGAACAUUACUGACGCUGAUUGCGCGAAAGCGUGGGGAGCAAACAGGAUUAGAUACCCUGGUAGUCCACGCCCUAAACGAUGGAUGCUAGUUGUUGGAGGGCUUAGUCUCUCCAGUAAUGCAGCUAACGCAUUAAGCAUCCCGCCUGGGGAGUACGGUCGCAAGAUUAAAACUCAAAGGAAUAGACGGGGACCCGCACAAGCGGUGGAGCAUGUGGUUUAAUUCGAAGAUACACGAAGAACCUUACCUAGGCUUGACAUUGAGAGAAUCCGCUAGAAAUAGUGGAGUGUCUGGCUUGCCAGACCUUGAAAACAGGUGCUGCACGGCUGUCGUCAGCUCGUGUCGUGAGAUGUUGGGUUAAGUCCCGCAACGAGCGCAACCCCCUUUCUUAGUUGCUAACAGGUUAUGCUGAGAACUCUAAGGAUACUGCCUCCGUAAGGAGGAGGAAGGUGGGGACGACGUCAAGUCAUCAUGGCCCUUACGCCUAGGGCUACACACGUGCUACAAUGGGGUGCACAAAGAGAAGCAAUACUGCGAAGUGGAGCCAAUCUUCAAAACACCUCUCAGUUCGGAUUGUAGGCUGCAACUCGCCUGCAUGAAGCUGGAAUCGCUAGUAAUCGCAAAUCAGCCAUGUUGCGGUGAAUACGUUCCCGGGUCUUGUACUCACCGCCCGUCACACCAUGGGAGUUGUGUUUGCCUUAAGUCAGGAUGCUAAAUUGGCUACUGCCCACGGCACACACAGCGACUGGGGUGAAGUCGUAACAAGGUAACCGUAGGUGAACCUGCGGUUGGAUCACC